GUCUAGCUAAACUCACCUUAUCUCUGAAGUUCGACCAUGUGAACUGCGGUGGGUUAAUUUUGAGGACUUUCAAUGAUUCAGCAAGCUAUUGAAGACCCACGAAGUAGUACAACUACUUACAUAUCCUAAUCUUUCACUUGGGUCUCUGAUGAUAUUAAAAUCGCCCAUAAUGAUCUAUAGGGUGGAGCUAAUUAAUAGAUGCAACUAUUUCAGUUCAUUAAAGAAGAGCUCUUGCUGAUGAUGAUCAUUAGGGCCAUACACAUUUGUUAUGAUCUAGCA
Molecule: long non-coding RNA, 279 nt
Filed under: Elaeis guineensis (African oil palm)
Lineage: Eukaryota; Viridiplantae; Streptophyta; Magnoliopsida; Arecales; Arecaceae
Description: long non-coding RNA (EGUI_LNC045465)
Source: RNAcentral